This 253-nucleotide ribosomal RNA is filed under the name uncultured bacterium. RNAcentral's name for it is "partial 16S ribosomal RNA". It matches the Rfam family "Bacterial small subunit ribosomal RNA", at positions 524 to 776 of the family's 1533-position model. The record is from RNAcentral.
UACGGGGGGGGCAAGCGUUGUUCGGAAUUACUGGGCGUAAAGGGCUCGUAGGCGGCCAACUAAGUCAGACGUGAAAUCCCUCGGCUUAACCGGGGAACUGCAUCUGAUACUGGAUGGCUUGAGUUCGGGAGAGGGAUGCGGAAUUCCAGGUGCAGCGGUGAAAUGCGUAGAUAUCUGGAGGAACACCGGUGGCGAAGGCGGCAUCCUGGACCGACACUGACGCUGAGGAGCGAAAGCCAGGGGAGCAAACGGG